RNAcentral lists this ribosomal RNA (460 nucleotides) under uncultured bacterium. Its description in RNAcentral is "partial 16S ribosomal RNA". It matches the Rfam family "Bacterial small subunit ribosomal RNA", at positions 338 to 795 of the family's 1533-position model. The record is from RNAcentral.
CCUACGGGGGGCAGCAGUGAGGAAUAUUGGUCAAUGGACGAGAGUCUGAACCAGCCAAGUAGCGUGAAGGAUGACUGCCCUAUGGGUUGUAAACUUCUUUUAUAUGGGAAUAAAACGUUCCACGUGUGGGAUUUUGUAUGUACCAUAUGAAUAAGGAUCGGCUAACUCCGUGCCAGCAGCCGCGGUAAUACGGAGGAUCCGAGCGUUAUCCGGAUUUAUUGGGUUUAAAGGGAGCGUAGGUGGAAUGUUAAGUCAGUUGUGAAAGUUUGCGGCUCAACCGUAAAAUUGCAGUUGAAACUGGCAGUCUUGAGUACAGUAGAGGUGGGCGGAAUGCGUGGUGUAGCGGUGAAAUGCUUAGAUAUCACGAAGAACUCCGAUUGCGAAGGCAGUUCACUGGACUGCAACUGACACUGAGGCUCGAAAGUGUGGGUAUCAAACAGGAUUAGAUACCCUUGUAGUC